ACUCAAAUGAAUAGACGGGACCCCGCACAAGCGGUGGAGCAUGUGGAUUAAUUCGAUACUAACCGAAGAACCUUACCCAGACUUGACAUCGACGGAAACUUCCAGAAAUGGAAUCCUCUACCCACAAGGUAGACCUGAAGACAGAUGUUGCAUGGCUGUCGUCAGCUCGUGCCGUGAGGUGUUUGGUUAAGUCCAGCAACGAGCGCAACCCUCAUUUCGUGUUACCAACAGGUAAAGCUGGGGACUCACGAGAAACUGCCCGUGUAAACGGGAGGAAGGCGAGGAUGACGUCAAGUCAGCAUGGCUCUUACGUCUGGGGCUUCACACAUGCUACAAUGGGCGCAACAAAGGGCAGCAAUACCGCGAGGUGGAGCCAAUCCCAAAAAUACGCCCCCAGUUCAGAUUGCAGUCUGCAACUCGACUGCAUGAAGGCGGAAUCGCUAGUAACCGCAGGUCAGCUAUACUGCGGUGAAUACGUUCCCGGGGUUUGUACACACCGCCCGU
RNAcentral lists this ribosomal RNA (504 nucleotides) under uncultured bacterium. RNAcentral describes it as "partial 16S ribosomal RNA". It matches the Rfam family "Bacterial small subunit ribosomal RNA", at positions 899 to 1397 of the family's 1533-position model. The record is from RNAcentral.